This 460-nucleotide ribosomal RNA is filed under the name uncultured bacterium. RNAcentral's name for it is "partial 16S ribosomal RNA". It matches the Rfam family "Bacterial small subunit ribosomal RNA", at positions 338 to 795 of the family's 1533-position model. The record is from RNAcentral.
CCUACGGGUGGCAGCAGUGAGGAAUAUUGGUCAAUGGGCGCGAGCCUGAACCAGCCAAGUCGCGUGAGGGAGGACGGCCCUACGGGUUGUAAACCCCUUUUGCCGGGGAGCAAAGGGCGUCACGUGUGGCGCCACUGAGAGUACCCGGAGAAUAAGCAUCGGCUAACUCCGUGCCAGCAGCCGCGGUAAUACGGAGGAUGCGAGCGUUAUCUGGAUUUAUUGGGUUUAAGGGGUUCGUAGGGGGUUCGUUAAGUCAGUGGUCAAAUUGAGGGGCUCAACCCCUGCCCGCCAUUGAUACUGGCGCUCUUGAGUGAAAGAGAGGUAUGCGGAAUGCGUGGUGUAGCGGUGAAAUGCGUAGAUAUCACGCAGAACACCGAUUGCGAAGGCAGCAUGCCGGCUUCCGACUGACGCUGAGGCACGAAAGCGUGGGGAUCGAACAGGAUUAGAUACCCUAGUAGUC